AAAACGACUCUCGGCAACGGAUAUCUCGGCUCUCGCAUCGAUGAAGAACGUAGCGAACUGCGAUACUUGGUGUGAAUUGCAGAAUCCCGUGAACCAUCGAGUCUUUGAACGCAAGUUGCGCCCGAAGCCAUUAGGCCGAGGGCACGUCUUCCUGGGCGUCACGC
Molecule: ribosomal RNA, 164 nt
Filed under: Gentiana straminea
Lineage: Eukaryota; Viridiplantae; Streptophyta; Magnoliopsida; Gentianales; Gentianaceae
Also listed under: 1 other name
Description: 5.8S ribosomal RNA
Rfam family: 5.8S ribosomal RNA
About the family: 5.8S ribosomal RNA (5.8S rRNA) is a component of the large subunit of the eukaryotic ribosome. It is transcribed by RNA polymerase I as part of the 45S precursor that also contains 18S and 28S rRNA.
Source: RNAcentral